GUAUAGCACUUGUACUGUGAAACUGCGAAUGGCUCAUUAAAUCAGUUAUCGUUUAUUUGAUCGUACCUUACUACAUGGAUACCUGUGGUAAUUCUAGAGCUAAUACAUGCUGAAAACCCCGACUUCAGGGAGGGGUGUAUUUAUUAGAUAAAAAACCAACGCCCUUCGGGGCUCCUUGGUGAAUCAUAAUAACUUAACGAAUCGCAUGGCCUUGCGCCGGCGAUGGUUCAUUCAAAUUUCUGCCCUAUCAACUUUCGAUGGUAGGAUAGUGGCCUACCAUGGUGGCAACGGGUAACGGGGAAUUAGGGUUCGAUUCCGGAGAGGGAGCCUGAGAAACGGCUACCACAUCCAAGGAAGGCAGCAGGCGCGCAAAUUACCCAAUCCCGAUACGGGGAGGUAGUGACAAUAAAUACUGAUACGGGGCUCUUUUGGGUCUCGUAAUUGGAAUGAGAACAAUUUAAAUCCCUUAACGAGGAACAAUUGGAGGGCAAGUCUGGUGCCAGCAGCCGCGGUAAUUCCAGCUCCAAUAGCGUAUAUUAAAGUUGUUGCAGUUAAAAAGCUCGUAGUUGAACCUUGGGUCUGGCUGGCCGGUCCGCCUCACCGCGAGUACUGGUCCGGCUGGACCUUUCCUUCUGGGGAACCCUAUGGCCUUCACUGGCUGUAGGGGGAACCAGGACUUUUACUGUGAAAAAAUUAGAGUGUUCAAAGCAGGCCUUUGCUCGAAUACAUUAGCAUGGAAUAAUAGAAUAGGACGUGCGGUUCUAUUUUGUUGGUUUCUAGGACCGCCGUAAUGAUUAAUAGGGAUAGUCGGGGGCGUCAGUAUUCAGCUGUCAGAGGUGAAAUUCUUGGAUUUGCUGAAGACUAACUACUGCGAAAGCAUUCGCCAAGGAUGUUUUCAUUAAUCAGGGAACGAAAGUUAGGGGAUCGAAGACGAUCAGAUACCGUCGUAGUCUUAACCAUAAACUAUGCCGACUAGGGAUCGGACGGGAUUCUAUGAUGACCCGUUCGGCACCUUACGAGAAAUCAAAGUUUUUGGGUUCUGGGUUGA
Molecule: ribosomal RNA, 1048 nt
Filed under: Penicillium sp. BCC16054
Lineage: Eukaryota; Fungi; Ascomycota; Eurotiomycetes; Eurotiales; Aspergillaceae
Description: SSU rRNA
Rfam family: Eukaryotic small subunit ribosomal RNA
Source: RNAcentral